This 401-nucleotide ribosomal RNA is filed under the name Cochliomyia hominivorax (primary screw-worm). RNAcentral's name for it is "partial 12S ribosomal RNA". The record is from RNAcentral. Lineage: Eukaryota; Metazoa; Arthropoda; Insecta; Diptera; Calliphoridae.
AAUUAUUAAUCUUUAUAAUUUUACUAUCAAAUCCACCUUCAAUAAACAUUUCAAAUUUAUAUUCAUUUAAAUAUUUUUAUUGUAACCCAUUUCUACUUAAAUAUUAGCUACACCUUGAUCUGAUAUAUUUUCUUUUUAAAAAUUAUGAAAAUUAACAUUCUUAUAAAAUAUUCUAAUAACGACGGUGUAUAAACUGAUUACAAACUUAAGUAAGGUCCAUCGUGGAUUAUCGAUUACAGAACAGGUUCCUCUGAAUAGACUAAAAUACCGCCAAAUUUUUUAAGUUUCAAGAACAUAACUACUACUACCUUAGUUUUUAAAUUUACAUUUUAAAUAAUAGGGUAUCUAAUCCUAGUUUAUUAUUAAAAUUUUCAAGCUUCAAUUAUUUUAUAUAAAAAAUU